RNAcentral lists this ribosomal RNA (292 nucleotides) under uncultured bacterium. Its description in RNAcentral is "partial 16S ribosomal RNA". The record is from RNAcentral. RNAcentral also lists the same sequence under 1 other name.
GGACUACCGGGGUAUCUAAUCCCGUUUGCUCCCCUGGCUUUCGUGCCUCAGCGUCAGGAAAUGUCCAGAGACUCGCCUUCGCCACUGGUGUUCCACUUGAUAUCUACGCAUUUCACUGCUACACCAAGUAUUCCAGUCUCCCUUCCAUUCCUCGAGCCAGAUAGUAUCCGCUGCCGUUUCCGAGUUGAGCUCGGAGAUUUCACAACAGACUUACCCGACCGCCUACGCACCCUUUACGCCCAGUGAAUCCGAACAACGCUUGGGACCUCUGUAUUACCGCGGCUGCUGGCAC